GUGUCAGCCGCCGCGGUAAUACGUAGGGUGCGAGCGUUAAUCGGAAUUACUGGGCGUAAAGCGUGCGCAGGCGGUUGUGUAAGGCAGGCGUGAAAUCCCCGUGCUCAACCUGGGAAUGGCGCUUGUGACUGCACGGCUGGAGUGCGGCAGAGGGGGAUGGAAUUCCGCGUGUAGCAGUGAAAUGCGUAGAUAUGCGGAGGAACACCGAUGGCGAAGGCAAUCCCCUGGGCCUGCACUGACGCUCAUGCACGAAAGCGUGAGGAGCAAACAGGAUUAGAAACCCCCGUAGUCC
Molecule: ribosomal RNA, 292 nt
Filed under: uncultured Tepidimonas sp.
Lineage: Bacteria; Pseudomonadati; Pseudomonadota; Betaproteobacteria; Burkholderiales
Description: partial 16S ribosomal RNA
Rfam family: Bacterial small subunit ribosomal RNA
Source: RNAcentral